This 253-nucleotide ribosomal RNA is filed under the name uncultured bacterium. RNAcentral describes it as "partial 16S ribosomal RNA". It matches the Rfam family "Bacterial small subunit ribosomal RNA", at positions 524 to 776 of the family's 1533-position model. The record is from RNAcentral.
UACGUAGGGAGCAAGCGUUGUCCGGAAUCAUUGGGCGUAAAGCGCGCGUAGGUGGCUUCGUAAGUCCGUUGUGAAAGUCAAAGGCUCAACCUUUGAAAGCCGAUGGAUACUGUGAAGCUAGAGUACGGAAGAGGCGAGUGGAAUUCCUGGUGUAGCGGUGAAAUGCGCAGAUAUCAGGAGGAACACCGGUGGCGAAGGCGGUCUCUGGGCCGAUGACUGACGCUGAGGAGCGAAAGCGUGGGGAGCGAACAGG